CUCAAUGAUCUAUGCUGGCUCUGGAGGCCUCUUCAAAGCUGAAAUCCACCAUGUAAUGACCGUGGCAUGAACCACAACCGGAAAGAGCAGCAUCUGUGAAUGGUGGAAGACGUGCCUGUUUUCCGCUCUAGGCUCCCUGGAAAAAGGAGCAGAACUCCACUGAGAGACUCCAACGCAUCUAAGCAUUCUCAGCUUCAACCAAACCAGCCACGUCCACGUCCCAAGCCUGGAGUCAGUGCUGGAGGACUGCUUUAGAGGGAGUGUCAACCGAUGUGACUUUGAUGGAACUCUGAAAGAUUGAUGGCAAGCGACGAUAUAUAGGAGGAAGCAGUGUCGUUGCCCAGAAUCCAGUGAGAGCUGGAGCUGCGGAGGAACAGAGGAUGGAAGGAGGAGUAGCCAUGGAGGCACACAGCCACCGGCAGAAGCUAGAAGUCAAAGCAGGGAGAAAGUGACAGAGAAAACUGUGAUCUCUCUGAUCCUCCUGCCAGCGACUCCAUUAGGUGAACUCAAUAAAGCCAGCUGACUUGGAUCGCCUGAACUUAGAGACUGUGUCUGAUUCACCUCCAAUGCAUGGCACAAUGCAUGACACAAUGGGUGUUCAAUAUCUAUUGAAUAAAUGAAGUAACCUUUAUUCUUCCUAUAUUAGCCCAUGUGAGCCUGCAGAUGUGCCCAAGGGAAGCAUUCCAUAAACAAAUGAUUUGCAUAAAAUCAUCUGUGCCUCUUCAAACUCGUGCAGAUAUUCAGUUUGGGCUCUAUUCAAAUUUUAAGCUCAAGUUCCUGCCAAUUUUAUGUUAUCAAACAGGCUUGCUCAUCUUAGUUAGAAGCCUCAUAAAAUUAUCAUCACUUAGAGAUUGCUCACCCUCCCAGGGAGCUACUGAAACUUUAUCCCAAAUCAAAGAUACAUAAAUUGGUUCCAUUUUGCAUUUGGAAUUCUGAGUAAGCAAGGCGAUUCCAGUCUUAUCAUAUCUCAGUAGUUGGCAGUAGAAGAAGCCACAACACUCAUCCAGUCACUGACCUGGCUCCUCAACAUGGCAGACAUUCCUGCAGAAUAAGAAACCCUCCACAGAACUCAGCUUCCUGGGAUCCAGGCAACAACAGAUGCUUUGCAUUUGAGUUACUCCCGUAUGCUGCCUCCUGAAUUAUCAUAUCUAUUCAUUUUCUGCCACACAUUAAAAUUCUGACUUGUACUGAAAACCAUGCUGAUCUGCACAAAACUGUCUAUUUUGUUGCCUUUCACUGAAGGGAUAAUGAUUCUAUACCUAACAGGCAAACUGUCUCAGAGCAUCUUACUUCUCUGCAUUUUUGCCACAGUCACUUCCACUCUUCUCAUUCCCAACGAGAGAGGAAUAAGAUCAUUAGUAGUUUAGUGUUCCACUGGGACCUGAGAAGUAAUAAUAAUAAUAAUAAUAAUAAUA
RNAcentral lists this long non-coding RNA (1415 nucleotides) under Equus caballus (horse). RNAcentral's name for it is "lncRNA (ENSECAG00000042752.2)". Lineage: Eukaryota; Metazoa; Chordata; Mammalia; Perissodactyla; Equidae. The record is from RNAcentral.